RNAcentral lists this ribosomal RNA (492 nucleotides) under uncultured bacterium. RNAcentral's name for it is "partial 16S ribosomal RNA". It matches the Rfam family "Bacterial small subunit ribosomal RNA", at positions 29 to 507 of the family's 1533-position model. The record is from RNAcentral.
AGUGAACGCUGGCGGUAGGCCUAACACAUGCAAGUCGAACGGCAGCACAGUAAGAGCUUGCUCUUACGGGUGGCGAGUGGCGGACGGGUGAGGAAUACAUCGGAAUCUACUUUUUCGUGGGGGAUAACGUAGGGAAACUUACGCUAAUACCGCAUACGACCUACGGGUGAAAGCAGGAGAUCUUCGGACCUUGCGCGAUUCAAUUAGCCGAUGUCGGAUUAGCUAGUUGGCUGGGUAAAGGCCCACCAAGGCGACGAUCCGUAGCUGGUCUGAGAGGAUGAUCAGCCACACUGGAACUGAGACACGGUCCAGACUCCUACGGGAGGCAGCAGUGGGGAAUAUUGGACAAUGGGCGCAAGCCUGAUCCAGCCAUACCGCGUGGGUGAAGAAGGCCUUCGGGUUGUAAAGCCCUGUUGUUGGGAAAGAAAAGCAGCAGGUUAAUACCCCGCUGUUCUGACGGUACCCAAAGAAUAAGCACCGGCUAACUUCGUG